GGUUAUGGCUCAGUGGUAGAGUGCUUGCCUAGCAUGUGUGAGGCACUGAGGCACUGGGUUCGAGCCUCAGGACCA
Molecule: transfer RNA, 75 nt
Filed under: Marmota monax (woodchuck)
Lineage: Eukaryota; Metazoa; Chordata; Mammalia; Rodentia; Sciuridae
Description: tRNA.Ala
Source: RNAcentral